UCCAUCUUUCAAAAGAAGAUCCCACUUUAUUUGAAUUUUUUGUUUACUAAAUCACUUAUAUUCCAAAAUCUUAUUGUCUGUUCCUUUCAAAGUAUAUUGAAUGUUAUCUAUUUUCCUCGAUGUAUCCAUACACCAUCUGUUCCCCAUGAACCCGACUUUUUAACAUCUAUUUGUUCACACGGAGAAUUAAGAUUAGAAGAAACGUCUUGUAAAACGUCACUACAGAAGAAAGUCAAGAAAGGUUCAAAAUCAUAUUAUUGAAAUUUUUGUAAAAGGAAUUUUCCAGAUGUCGUGUUUCUGUGAUAGUACCAUUCAAUGAAUAUUCCGUUCACCUUUCCAGACUCGAACAGUUUUUCUGAACCUUCAAAUACCUUAUGUUCAAAACCUUGGAUAUCUAUUUUUAUGAAUACUUUUAGCAUUGCUUUGAAUUCCGGAAGAGUCAUGAUAUCAUCUAAUAUAGCGGCUUUUAAGGGAACUGUGGUUUUCCUGUAGAACUUUCCAAACAUCUUUGACAUUUCCUUUACUACAUUGUCUUUUCCUUUGUCUACAAAUCCUAAUGCAUACUCACCUUUGUUUGGAAACGCAAAUGGUACAUCUUUGUGAUCGUUGCUAAGGGUAUUGUGAACAACGGUGACUUGAUCAGAAUACCUAUUCUCUAUAAUAGAGGCACACAGAUGCUGUGUAUUUUGUGGUGUUGGCUCUAUAGCAAUAACCUUCCUUCCUACAUUAGCCAGUUGUAGUGCAAUAACACCUAUGUUUGCACCAAUAUCAAAAACGCCGAUUGAAGGAUCGUGACGAAUGUAUUUGUACACAGUAUUGAAUCCCCAAUGUUCCCAUACAUUUUAAUCAAAUAUGUCGCGGGAUACAAUGUCUUCUUUCGGGUUAUUUAAGUAAAUAUUUAUUUUUCCUAGAUUAGAUUUUUUAACACCUUUCUGGAAAUAAUGUUUUGACUUUAAUAGCUGUAGUUGCUCCCAUUUACAAACAGAUACGUUUCUAUUCCAAGCAACAUCCCGAAAAGUGUAUAUAACAGGUUCAUCCAAAUUUUUACC
This 1049-nucleotide long non-coding RNA is filed under the name Mytilus galloprovincialis (Mediterranean mussel). The record is from RNAcentral. Lineage: Eukaryota; Metazoa; Mollusca; Bivalvia; Mytilida; Mytilidae.